Non-coding RNA from Rhopilema esculentum, 5475 nucleotides. Lineage: Eukaryota; Metazoa; Cnidaria; Scyphozoa; Rhizostomeae; Rhizostomatidae. The record is from RefSeq and is a predicted model, not a curated record.
CACUUUACGUUAGCAUCAAGUUAUUCGAUCAACAGGUUGAAAAAUCAACUCCCUUCAAGGUGUGUGGCAGCAGUCAUGCUGAGCUUGAACUGCAAAACAAAAGCCAGGUCGUGGAAGAGUACUCUAAUGUAUCUGCUGACAGAAUGAAGAAAGUAUGUCUCAAUAGCGAAUAGCUGAUGCUGAAAAAUGGCGGCUGAUAUGUUGACUAUUGUCAUUCACUGUUUCGUUGCUUGCAGUUUACCGUUAUCUUUGCUCGCAUCAUCUUCGUUUUUAGAUGACUUAACGAUAAAAACCCCAGAGGUUGUCUGGAUGCUAGUUGGAAAUCACUAUGCAAUAAACUGUGAGCUUACAGGAAACAUUUCAAAGGAAACAGUGAAGAUGUUUUGGGAGACAAAUAAUAAAUCCAUUGCAGAUCUUCUUUCAGCGAAUAUAAAGGAAAUCAGGAUAAGUAGUUCUCAUAUUCAACUGAGAUUUCUCAAUGCAACUUUGGCAGAAGCUGGACACUAUGCUUGCGUAGCUGAGAACCAGUAUGGAAGAAUGCUAAGUUCAACAACGCGUGUAAACAUUGGAAGGUCACCGGAAAAAUUUCAAGAAUACAAAUGCUCAUAUGAUAGGAACAGCAACAUUGUUGAAUUUACCCCAGUUUUACCACAACAUAAUGAUGUAUCAGAGGUAGAUGUGAAAUACUGCCAAAGUCUGUUUAAGAAUAAUUUUUGUCGGAAUAAUGAGAGUGUAUGGAAAAAUGCCACAUGCAGCAACAAAACACUUUCUUGCUUGAUGAAAGUUUCUAGCCUUUCAAGAUACAGCUUGCAGAUAGUCCUCAAAAACCUAUUUGGUAGCACACCUGCUGUUACAAUUCCAUUCAACUACUUUGGAAAAUGCACUGAUCAAAAGCCAGUUAUCAAAAACAUGUAUUUUAUCAACUAUAAAAAGAUCCAAAUUUCAUGGAAAUUGCCACCAGGAUACAUUAUGGCUGUUUUAAAAGUGAACGAAAAUCCAAGUUCUGCUGUAAUUGCCGAGGCUAAUGCUUUUGUCAAUGAAGGAUACAGAAUUAUUGAAGUCGACCUUAAGCCUUGCACAAUAUACACCACUUGCAUCACCUUACUUAAGACACCACAAAUCAAAACAUGCAAAAGUAAACAGACAGAAAUGAGAUAUGAUAUCCCAAUAAUGAAGGAUAUUCAGAUGGCUGACAAUAUCGUCAUGAAGACGAUAGAGAUUCGUUGGAAGGACCCUACUGAAGACACAAAAGGCCCUUUUUAUUACAGAUGCAAAUUGCAUGUUGUCAAGGAGUCUAAAACGGUUGACACAAUAUUGCGUAACACUACUCUUGCCAUGUUAUCUGUUCCAAGGCCACUGGGAACUCAGAUAAUUUUCACUAUUCAGAAGUGCACGAGCUGCGCCUGUGCGUACGGAGUUACAAACAUUUUCCCGCUGUCCAAGAAGCAGAAAUCUUCUCCGCGAGUGGCAAGAGAGCCUAAUGCGCUUAUCAUUCCUUGGGCUGUUGGUGGAGCAGCGCUAUUUCUGGUAGCAAUGGUGCUUGGGUAUUUCUUUUAUAGACGCCGAAGGACCACCAGGACCCCACCAGAAGAUUCCUUUUGCCAAACCGUCACAGAGGAUCCAGGGCAGAUUAUGCCACUCAACCAUCAUUACGAAGAAGUUAUGUAAAGCUGCCUCUCUGGUUGCAAAAAGUAUGUGAUAUUUUAUAAGUUUGCGAACUAACUGUUUUUAAACACUGUUGGAAGACGAGCCAUUAUUGUGUAGAUACCCGUGAUUCAUAAACUCGUCUGUUCAGAACUCCACGGUAUUAAUUUUUGUAGGCUUUGUCGUAGAUGCUUACUGCGAUGUCGAUUAUAACAGAUAACAGAUUAAGUUUUCUUAAGCUUUUAAGACUAUUGCAAGAGCUUCUUGAUAUCUUCGACUAAGCGCUUUAAUAGCAGAGAUUUUACGCUACCCAGUGUGCCAUGUGUUCAGAUGACUUUUUCGAACCAUGUCCUUGUGUUAUUUGAACCAAUUGUCCUGCGUGGCAAGUAAAUUUUCCUGCUUCCCCGUUUCCCCGUUGGAGGGCUGUCUUUGCCCAUUCAUACCUCUGUCCAUUGGCCACAUCUUGUAAUAUUGCAUUUUAAUAUCUUUCCUUUCUGAAAUGCAAAGAUAAUUGAAACCUUUUAAAGAAUUUGAGUUUGUUUUUGGACAGUCAUGCCUUGUCUGCUUCCAAAUUCAUUUUAACAUCUGCAUCGACGAUCGGGUAACAUCGGUAGGCAGUUUUGCUCAAGUGUUUGGAACAAUUUUGAAAUUUCCCCCUCUAUGAAAGGUUUUGGAUUGAUGUACACUUACGUUCAAAAAGUAUUGGGACAAAUAUCGAAAUUUCUUAGACAUUUUACGCAACAAAUUUUGAAAGACUUUUUUAAAAUCUUUCUCAUUAAAAAAGUACGGCCGCUAUUUCCAUGAAAUUUUCACAAUGUAUUUUGAUAUUGUAUGCAAUGUACUUUGUUGAUCAUUAUACUUUGUUAAUACUUUUAAAAUUUCCAUCCUUCCCACUUUGAUUUGAAAACAGCCCCCUGUGCGCUCGUAAACGAAUAAACUUUGCUUCAUGCUACAUCCAUGUUUUACCUUCUCAUAAGUGUUUUUACCUCCUGCAUCAUUGUGCCUUGCGGUGGCAACAUAUCAGAAAGAUUUUUAACAUGCCAAAGCUUGUUUAUUGUUAAUAUCUGUUUAUAUCUCAUGUUCUCGCUUAUUCUUGUAAAUAAUUAGAAAUUAGAUAGGUCUGAAGCAGAUCUUCAGGGUUUGAUAUUUUAAUCUUUAUCCACGCUAUCAUGUUUUUCCAUCCGCUUGAAUCCCACCAGUAGGGCAAAAAUCUUAAUAGACACAAUGGCGGCCUAUAUCAUCGAGAUUUGUAAAUUCCCCUGCAGCUCAUGCAAGGUUCAUUGUUAAUCAACGAAACUCAGAUUUCCAUUCUAAAAGUAUUUUUCUAUAUUCUAAAGAAGUUUUACUGCCAAAAAAUGGAAAAAAAGCCUGUAUCCAUCCACCAUGAGUUUUUCGCUAGUAUAGCACAAUAGAAUUCCAUCCUGGCGUUGCGAACUCGACUUGACCAUUAGCCUUUGAUAGAUGAUUAGUUACUACAGCAACUAAAACCCUAAAGACAUAUAGAGCAAAGCUGGGGUUUGAAGCAUCUGCUUUUCGACAGACGACAGAGAAGAAUUUCUUAAAGGCAAUCAACAGAAACUAGAGGGGGGGUAUGCCCCACAGUUCUGGACGCAAGCAUCUUAUUAACUUCGUUUAUCUCGUGCGAUUUUUAUUUCACUCCUCUUAUUUCUUAUUUUAUUUUUUGUAUUGUGCGUUGUUUAAAUAGUAGUUUUGAGCUAGAGAGAGAAUCAGCAUACUAAGAACAUAAUAAAACUCAUUAUAUUUAACUUAGAAUCGACUGGCAUACUGCACUUUUAGUCAAUGCUUUAAAUUUUUUGUAGUUCAUUGUAAUGAAUGUACUUUUCAAUCAUUUAAGUAUGUUUUCGUGAAAUUGUAUAAUAUCUUAAGCACAUUUUCCUGAAUAUCAAUCUUAGCCCAACUUUAAAAAAAAUGUAUCUUUUUGGCAGCUUCCCAAAUAAUAUGCAUCGAAUACCCAUGAUUUAAGCAAUGGUUUGUUUAGCUAUUAUAUGACUGAAGAAUUUUUUUGCAAAGGAUCAUGGGGGAUAUUUUACGAUAAGGAAAGGUAAGAGGUCACUGAUCGCUGGCGCUAAACUUCCAAUUCAGUACUGGAUGUUGAUUUAAUCUUUUAGCCCCCCCCCCUCCCCAUCCUCUACUUAUUUAUCAGCUUAGUGGUUUCAGAUAUUUCUCCUUCAAAAAAUUCACCUAAAAUGGGCAUAGUGUAUCUGUUGUAAGAAAUUUUUUCGGACAGAAUCAACAGAAUCAACCAGGCUUUAUAAAAAAUACAGUUUAGAGAGUGUUGAUUGGUUAAAGUUUAAGUAAUCCUGUGUUAUUUUCUUAUUUGAGUCCAUGAACAUGGUAGCUUGACUUGCAGUCCUAUACGAGUGAAACAUAUAUAUUUUGUUUAAACUAGAUGCCCUUUCAAAAAGAAUCAAUAAUCUUAUGUUUAAAAUUUUAACUUAUCUUGUAUUGCCUUUUUGAUUUCUCCUAGCUGAAGUUGGUCACCCAUUGCUUUCUUAUCACUCUUGCUUUAUAUGGUAAUUAACAAUUAUGUGUUGAAAGGUAACUUAUCUUUGCAUUUAGUUCUUAUUCAUCCAUAUUUUGUCAAUGGAUACCCUAACUGCAUAUCCGUGAUCCUGAAGCUACGUAGAAAAGACCUAGAUUUACACAAAUCAUUCUAUGAAGUAGAAGCGAAGGAAUCUCGGACCCAAUUUUUUUAGAAACUGGGCCAAGAUGUUUAGUAUAUAUGGAUUAUGUUAGUCAUUUUGCAGAACCAGCCGAUGAUAUAAACUAUGAUAGCUUCAAAGUUUAUCUUGCGAACAUUGUUUUGCCUCCUUGGUGUAUAUAAACUGGAACCAAGAAGUUCAACAGGAUUGAGUUUCGACUUCUGUGGUCUGUUACAAGCCUUUUAAAGACAUUGCUGAACUCAUUUCUGAAAGAUAAUAAUUUGCUAACUAAAGCAGGGAAUUGAUAUGCACCUUGAAGAGCCUGGACCCUCCUCUACUUCAGAACACACGUCCGUAUCGUAUGUACAGAACUUAUCAGAGCCAGAGUGUUCUUUUGAAAUGAACACAAAACAUUUUCACACCUAAAAACGUGGUCUGGUUGAUUCGAUCAAAAUGGCUGUAAAUGAAGUCGAUGUGCGGCCUUUAUGGAGAUUUUUCGAGUUUUAACGAGCCCUAUUGGUUGAUUUUUCUCUCAGAGCACACAUCAUUGUCAUAAUUUUAGACCGCUGAGAGUGCCAUGCGAUAUUUGCGAUUCUACUUGACGACUGUCUCAGAAUCCUCAGAAGCCCCGACGAACUGAGAACAUUUCAAGUAUUUUAAAUUGUAUAAAGAAAAGACAUUCGUUAUUCCUAGGUAUCGUUUUAAUCUUCGUAUAUAAAUCAUUAAUUGUUGCUUAAACUCCCCCCCUCACCUAAGCGUAGCAUCUAAGAUUUUUUCAAGAUAUACCUAUUUAGAUUUUCCCACUGUAUUUCUUCUCAGUUAUUUUGAAUCGCCCCCUAUUUUCAACUGUAUUUCACGUAAAUUUCUUUUGAAUUUGCCCCCGUUUCCUAUUGUAUUUGAAACGAAUAUCUAUUGAAUUUCCCCCCGUUUUCUAUUGUAUUUCACGUAAAUUUCUUUUGAAAUUCCCCCCGUUUUCUAUUGUAUUUCGUCUUGAUUUCUUUUGAUUUACCCCCUGAUUUUCCAUUGUAUUUCGCCUAAAUUUCUUUUGAAUUUCCCCCCGUUUUCUUUUGUAUUUCGCCUAAAUUUCUUUUGAAUUUCCCCCCGUUUUCUUUUGUAUUUCGCCUAAAUUUCUUUUGAAAUUCCCCCCGUUUUCUAUUGUAUUUCGCCU